RNAcentral lists this ribosomal RNA (475 nucleotides) under Candidatus Anaplasma amazonensis. RNAcentral describes it as "partial 16S ribosomal RNA". It matches the Rfam family "Bacterial small subunit ribosomal RNA", at positions 93 to 603 of the family's 1533-position model. Lineage: Bacteria; Pseudomonadati; Pseudomonadota; Alphaproteobacteria; Rickettsiales; Anaplasmataceae. RNAcentral also lists the same sequence under 1 other name. The record is from RNAcentral.
UAGUGGCAGACGGGUGAGUAAUGCAUAGGAAUCUGCCUAGUAGUAUGGGAUAGCCACUAGAAAUGGUGGGUAAUACUGUAUAAUCCCUGCGGGGGAAAGAUUUAUCGCUACUGGAUGAGCCUAUGUUAGAUUAGCUAGUUGGUGGGGUAAUGGCCUACCAAGGCUGUGAUCUAUAGCUGGUCUGAGAGGAUGAUCAGCCACACUGGAACUGAGACACGGUCCAGACUCCUACGGGAGGCAGCAGUGGGGAAUAUUGGACAAUGGGCGCAAGCCUGAUCCAGCUAUGCCGCGUGAGUGAGGAAGGCCUUAGGGUUGUAAAACUCUUUCAGCAGGGAAGAUAAUGACGGUACCUGCAGAAGAAGUCCCGGCAAACUCCGUGCCAGCAGCCGCGGUAAUACGGAGGGGGCAAGCGUUGUUCGGAAUUAUUGGGCGUAAAGGGCAUGUAGGCGGUUUGGUAAGUUAAAGGUGAAAUGCC